CCUACGGGGGGCAGCAGUGAGGAAUAUUGGUCAAUGGGCGCGAGCCUGAACCAGCCAAGUAGCGUGAAGGAUGACUGCCCUACGGGUUGUAAACUUCUUUUAUAAAGGAAUAAAGUGAGGCACGUGUGCCUUUUUGAAAGUAUUUUACGAAUAAGGAUCGGCUAACUCCGUGCCAGCAGCCGCGGUAAUACGGAGGAUCCGAGCGUUAUCCGGAUUUAUUGGGUUUAAAGGGAGCGUAGAUGGGUUGUUAAGUCAGUUGUGAAAGUUUGGGGCUCAACCGUAAAAUUGCAAUUGAUACUGGCAGUCUUGAGUACAGGUGAGGUAGGCGGAAUUCGUGGUGUAGCGGUGAAAUGCUUAGAUAUCACGAAGAACUCCGAUUGCGAAGGCAGCUUACUAGACUGCCACUGACAUUGAUGCACGAAAGUGUGGGUAUCAAACAGGAUUAGAUACCCCUGUAGUC
This 460-nucleotide ribosomal RNA is filed under the name uncultured bacterium. RNAcentral describes it as "partial 16S ribosomal RNA". It matches the Rfam family "Bacterial small subunit ribosomal RNA", at positions 338 to 795 of the family's 1533-position model. The record is from RNAcentral.